RNAcentral lists this ribosomal RNA (318 nucleotides) under Triticum aestivum (bread wheat). RNAcentral describes it as "partial small subunit ribosomal RNA". The record is from RNAcentral. Lineage: Eukaryota; Viridiplantae; Streptophyta; Magnoliopsida; Poales; Poaceae.
AUGCAUGAGAAGCUUACGAGGAUGAUCACUAUCACCAGCGUAUCUAUUAUUAACAGCAAAGAAAUCUCCAUAUAUGCACUCAUGCGUAUGAUCUUACCGUCACAUAAAAUAGCAUAUACUCCAAGUCAAGAUGAUGUUGUAACCGUAUCUACAACAUCCAAAAAUAUUAAGCCAGGGUUCAGAAUGCUUGCCUUCAAGUGUAUGCAUGUGGGGUUGCAUUUUUUGAAGGUUGCCUUUUCUCCAAAAUCCUAUUUUGGGAAAUAUUCAAAUAACAUACAUUUCAAAUGCAGUACAAAAAGUUGUCCCAAAUAUUUUUGA